AUUCUAGUUGGGCACUCUAAGGUGACUGCCGGCUAAAAGUCGGAGGAAGGUGGGGAUGACGUCAAAUCAUCAUGCCCCUUAUGACCUGGGCUACACACGUGCUACAAUGGGCGGUACAAAGGGUCGCGAACCCGCGAGGGGGAGCCAAUCCCAAAAAGCCGCUCUCAGUUCGGAUUGCAGGCUGCAACUCGCCUGCAUGAAGCCGGAAUCGCUAGUAAUCGCGGAUCAGCAUGCCGCGGUGAAUACGUUCCCGGGCCUU
Molecule: ribosomal RNA, 259 nt
Filed under: uncultured Anoxybacillus sp.
Lineage: Bacteria; Bacillati; Bacillota; Bacilli; Caryophanales; Anoxybacillaceae
Description: partial 16S ribosomal RNA
Rfam family: Bacterial small subunit ribosomal RNA
Source: RNAcentral